UGGGGAAUUUUGGACAAUGGGCGAAAGCCUGAUCCAGCAAUGCCGCGUGUGUGAAGAAGGCCUUCGGGUUGUAAAGCACUUUUGUCCGGAAAGAAAUCCUCUGGGUUAAUACCUCGGGGGGAUGACGGGUACCGGAAGAAUAAGCACCGGCUAACUACGUGCCAGCAGCCGCGGUAAUACGUAGGGUGCAAGCGUUAAUCGGAAUUACUGGGCGUAAAGCGUGCGCAGGCGGUUUUGUAAGACGGAUGUGAAAUCCCCGGGCUUAACCUGGGAACUGCAUUCGUGACUGCAAGGCUAGAGUAUGGCAGAGGGGGGUAGAAUUCCACGUGUGAGCAGUGAAAUGCGUAGAGAUGUGGAGGAAUACCGAUGGCGAAGGCAGCCCCCUGGGCCAAUACUGACGCUCAUGCACGAAAGCGUGGGGAGCAAACAGGAUUAGGAUACCCUGGUAGUCCACGCCCUAAACGAUGUCAACUA
Molecule: ribosomal RNA, 474 nt
Filed under: uncultured bacterium
Lineage: Bacteria
Description: partial 16S ribosomal RNA
Rfam family: Bacterial small subunit ribosomal RNA
Source: RNAcentral